GGUUAAGUUAGAAAGGGCGCACGGUGGAUGCCUUGACACUAGGAGUCGAUGAAGGACGGGACUAACGCCGAUAUGCUUCGGGGAGCUGUAAGUAAGCUUUGAUCCGAAGAUUUCCGAAUGGGGAAACCCACCAUACGUAAUGGUAUGGUAUCCUUAUCUGAAUACAUAGGGUAAGGAAGACAGACCCAGGGAACUGAAACAUCUAAGUACCUGGAGGAAGAGAAAGCAAAUGCGAUUUCCUGAGUAGCGGCGAGCGAAACGGAACAUAGCCCAAACCAAGAGGCUUGCCUCUUGGGGUUGUAGGACAUUCUAUACGGAGUUACAAAGGAACGAGGUAGACGAAGCGACCUGGAAAGGUCCGUCGUAGAGGGUAACAACCCCGUAGUCGAAACUUCGUUCUCUCUUGAAUGUAUCCUGAGUACGGCGGAACACGUGAAAUUCCGUCGGAAUCUGGGAGGACCAUCUCCCAAGGCUAAAUACUCCCUAGUGAUCGAUAGUGAACCAGUACCGUGAGGGAAAGGUGAAAAGCACCCCGGAAGGGGAGUGAAAGAGAUCCUGAAACCGUGUGCCUACAAAUAGUCAGAGCCCGUUAACGGGUGAUGGCGUGCCUUUUGUAGAAUGAACCGGCGAGUUACGAUCCCGUGCGAGGUUAAGCUGAAGAGGCGGAGCCGCAGCGAAAGCGAGUCUGAAUAGGGCGUUUAGUACGUGGUCGUAGACCCGAAACCAGGUGAUCUACCCAUGUCCAGGGUGAAGUUCAGGUAACACUGAAUGGAGGCCCGAACCCACGCACGUUGAAAAGUGCGGGGAUGAGGUGUGGGUAGCGGAGAAAUUCCAAUCGAACCUGGAGAUAGCUGGUUCUCCCCGAAAUAGCUUUAGGGCUAGCCUUAAGUGUAAGAGUCUUGGAGGUAGAGCACUGAUUGGACUAGGGGUCCUCAUCGGAUUACCGAAUUCAGUCAAACUCCGAAUGCCAAUGACUUAUCCUUAGGAGUCAGACUGCGAGUGAUAAGAUCCGUAGUCAAAAGGGAAACAGCCCAGACCGCCAGCUAAGGUCCCAAAGUGUGUAUUAAGUGGAAAAGGAUGUGGAGUUGCUUAGACAACUAGGAUGUUGGCUUAGAAGCAGCCACCAUUUAAAGAGUGCGUAAUAGCUCACUAGUCGAGUGACUCUGCGCCGAAAAUGUACCGGGGCUAAAUACACCACCGAAGCUGCGGAUUGAUACCGAAUGGUAUCAGUGGUAGGGGAGCGUUCUAAGGACAGUGAAGUCAGACCGGAAGGACUGGUGGAGUGCUUAGAAGUGAGAAUGCCGGUAUGAGUAGCGAAAGACGGGUGAGAAUCCCGUCCACCGAAUGCCUAAGGUUUCCUGAGGAAGGCUCGUCCGCUCAGGGUUAGUCAGGACCUAAGCCGAGGCCGACAGGCGUAGGCGAUGGACAACAGGUUGAUAUUCCUGUACCACCUCUUUAUCGUUUGAGCAAUGGAGGGACGCAGAAGGAUAGAAGAAGCGUGCGAUUGGUUGUGCACGUCCAAGCAGUUAGGCUGAUAAGUAGGCAAAUCCGCUUAUCGUGAAGGCUGAGCUGUGAUGGGGAAGCUCCUUAUGGAGCGAAGUCUUUGAUUCCCCGCUGCCAAGAAAAGCUUCUAGCGAGAUAAAAGGUGCCUGUACCGCAAACCGACACAGGUAGGCGAGGAGAGAAUCCUAAGGUGUGCGAGAGAACUCUGGUUAAGGAACUCGGCAAAAUGACCCCGUAACUUCGGGAGAAGGGGUGCUUUCUUAACGGAAAGCCGCAGUGAAUAGGCCCAAGCGACUGUUUAGCAAAAACACAGCUCUCUGCGAAGCCGUAAGGCGAAGUAUAGGGGGUGACACCUGCCCGGUGCUGGAAGGUUAAGGAGAGGGGUUAGCGUAAGCGAAGCUCUGAACUGAAGCCCCAGUAAACGGCGGCCGUAACUAUAACGGUCCUAAGGUAGCGAAAUUCCUUGUCGGGUAAGUUCCGACCCGCACGAAAGGUGUAACGAUUUGGGCACUGUCUCAACCAGAGACUCGGUGAAAUUAUAGUACCUGUGAAGAUGCAGGUUACCCGCGACAGGACGGAAAGACCCCGUGGAGCUUUACUGUAGCCUGAUAUUGAAUUUUGGUACAGUUUGUACAGGAUAGGCGGGAGCCUUUGAAACCGGAGCGCUAGCUUCGGUGGAGGCGCUGGUGGGAUACCGCCCUGACUGUAUUGAAAUUCUAACCUACGGGUCUUAUCGACCCGGGAGACAGUGUCAGGUGGGCAGUUUGACUGGGGCGGUCGCCUCCUAAAGUGUAACGGAGGCGCCCAAAGGUUCCCUCAGAAUGGUUGGAAAUCAUUCGUAGAGUGCAAAGGCAUAAGGGAGCUUGACUGCGAGACCUACAAGUCGAGCAGGGACGAAAGUCGGGCUUAGUGAUCCGGUGGUUCCGCAUGGAAGGGCCAUCGCUCAACGGAUAAAAGCUACCCCGGGGAUAACAGGCUUAUCUCCCCCAAGAGUCCACAUCGACGGGGAGGUUUGGCACCUCGAUGUCGGCUCAUCGCAUCCUGGGGCUGUAGUCGGUCCCAAGGGUUGGGCUGUUCGCCCAUUAAAGCGGUACGCGAGCUGGGUUCAGAACGUCGUGAGACAGUUCGGUCCCUAUCCGUCGUGGGCGUAGGAAAUUUGAGAGGAGCUGUCCUUAGUACGAGAGGACCGGGAUGGACAUACCUCUGGUGUACCAGUUGUCGUGCCAACGGCAUAGCUGGGUAGCUAUGUAUGGACGGGAUAAGUGCUGAAAGCAUCUAAGCAUGAAGCCCCCCUCAAGAUGAGAUUUCCCAACUUCGGUUAUAAGAUCCCUCAAAGAUGAUGAGGUUAAUAGGUUCGAGGUGGAAGCGUGGUGACACGUGGAGCUGACGAAUACUAAUCGAUCGAAGACUUAAUCAA
Molecule: ribosomal RNA, 2920 nt
Filed under: Bacillus paranthracis
Lineage: Bacteria; Bacillati; Bacillota; Bacilli; Caryophanales; Bacillaceae
Description: 23S ribosomal RNA
Rfam family: Bacterial large subunit ribosomal RNA
Source: RNAcentral